UAGGUUGAUUGGCCGCACUGACCUUGCAGCUGGUCUUCUUGGCGAGGGGGAGAGGAGGAAGAAUCCAGCCCGAGGAGCUCAGCCUGCCUGCUUCCCCCCCCCACAAGCAGGGAGGGGGGGCUACCCCGCGCAUCCUACAGCGCCCCAAGCCAGAAAGAGAAUGCAGGAGUCUCAAGGGGAAAGCCACUCCAGGUUAUGUCCAUGCCAACAGCAGCCCAGGCUUGGAAAGUUCUUCAUGCCAGUCCAGGAUGUGCGGUGGAAAUGAUAGUCUACUUAGACUCCACUGAAUUUAUCAACAUGUUGAGUAAGUGAAUCACAUUUGCACUUCUCAGGAAAUUGCUUUGGUCCGUCCAUGCUGUGGAAAAAUACAUCUUCAGGGUGUUCAGUUAAAGGUUUUAAGAAAGUCCUGACUAACACAAACAUGCCCAGGCACAGAUAAUCAUCACACGUC
Molecule: long non-coding RNA, 451 nt
Organism: Dermochelys coriacea (leatherback sea turtle)
Lineage: Eukaryota; Metazoa; Chordata; Testudines; Dermochelyidae
Exons: 3
Source: RefSeq, a predicted model, not a curated record